CCUACGGGAGGCAGCAGUGGGGGAUAUUGCACAAUGGGGGGAACCCUGAUGCAGCGACGCCGCGUGGGUGAAGGAGCGUUUCGGCGCGUAAAGCCCUAUCGGCAGGGAAGAAGGAGGACGGUACCUGACGAAGAAGCCCCGGCGAACUACGUGCCAGCAGCCGCGGUAAUACGUAGGGGGCAAGCGUUAUCCGGAUUUACUGGGUGUAAAGGGGGCGCGGACGGCAGCGCAAGGCAGGAGUGAAAGCCCGGGGCCCAACCCCGGGACUGCGCUUGGAACUGCGCGGCUGGAGUGCAGGAGGGGCAGGCGGAAUUCCUGGUGUAGCGGUGAAAUGCGUAGAUAUCAGGAGGAACACCGGUGGCGAAGGCGGCCUGCUGGCCUGCGACUGACGUUGAGGCCCGAAAGCGUGGGGAGCAAACAGGAUUAGAUACCCUAGUAGUC
This 441-nucleotide ribosomal RNA is filed under the name uncultured bacterium. RNAcentral's name for it is "partial 16S ribosomal RNA". It matches the Rfam family "Bacterial small subunit ribosomal RNA", at positions 338 to 795 of the family's 1533-position model. The record is from RNAcentral.